UUGGUAGAGGAGCAUUCUUAAAACCGACGAAGCUGUACCGGUAAGGAGCAGUGGAGGGAUAAGAAGAGAGAAUGCCGGAAUGAGUAGCGAGAGGAAGGUGGGAAUCCUUCUGGCCGAAUAUCUAAGGUUUCCAGAGUAAAGCUGAUCUGCUCUGGGUAAGUCGGGGCCUAAGGAGAGGUCGCAAGACGUAUCCGAUGGACAACAGGUUUAGAUUCCUGUACCGCAUAUAAACAGAACUGUGGGGACGCAUGUGGAAAGCAUAAGCCGGGAAUGGAAAGACCGGUACAAGCGAGGUAGGUGUGUGACAGGCAAAUCCGUCACAUAAGCCGAAGACGUGAUGUGGAGCGAAAUUAAGUAGUGAAGUAUGUGAGUCAUGUGCCGAGAAAAGCCGCUAUUGUUUUAUAUGUGCCCGUACCGUAAACCGACACAGGUGGAUGAGGAGAGAAUCCUAAGGCCGACGGAAGAAGCAUUGUUAAGGAAUUCGGCAAAAUGACCCCGUAACUUCGGGAGAAGGGGUGCCCACUGAAUGGUGGGCCGCAGAGAAUAGGCUCAAGCAACUGUUUAGCAAAAACACAGGUCUAUGCGAAACCGAAAGGUGAAGUAUAUGGGCUGACGCCUGCCCGGUGCUGGAAGGUUAAGAGGAGAGGUUAGCGCAAGCGAAGCUUUGAAUUUAAGCCCCAGUAAACGGCGGCCGUAACUAUAACGGUCCUAAGGUAGCGAAAUUCCUUGUCGGGUAAGUUCCGACCCGCACGAAAGGCGUAAUGAUUUGAGCACUGUCUCGACAAUGCAUCCGGUGAAAUUGAAGUACCAGUGAAGAUGCUGGUUACCCGCGCCAGGACGGAAAGACCCCAUGGAGCUUUACUCCAGUUUGAUACUGGGAUUCGGUACUGCACGUACAGGAUAGGUGGGAGACUGAGAACUAUGGACGCCAGUCUGUAGGGAGUCGCUGUUGGGAUACCACCCCUGUAGUACUGGGUUUCUAACCAUCUGCCGUGAUCCGGCAGUGGGACAAUGUCAGGCGGGGAGUUUGACUGGGGCGGUCGCCUCCGAAAGGGUAUCGGAGGCGCUCAAAGGUUCCCUCAGAAUGGUCGGAAACCAUUUGAAGAGUGCAAAGGCAGAAGGGAGCUUGACUGCGACACCGACGGGUGGAGCAGGUACGAAAGUAGGACUUAGUGAUCCGGUGGUAUAAAGUGGGAUUGCCAUCGCUCAACGGAUAAAAGCUACCCUGGAUAACAGGCUUAUCACUCCCAAGAGUUCACAUCGACGGAGUGGUUUGGCACCUCGAUGUCGGCUCAUCGCACCCUGGGGCUGUAGCAGGUCCCAAGGGUUGGGCUGUUCGCCCAUUAAAGCGGUACGCGAGCUGGGUUCAGAACGUCGUGAGACAGUUCGGUCCCUAUCCGGCGCGGGCGGAGGAUAUUUGAGAGGAGCUGUCCUUAGUACGAGAGGACCGGGAUGGACGGACCACUGGUGUAUCUGUUGUCGACCAACGGCAUGGCAGAGUAGCCAAGUCUGGAAGGGAUAAACGCUGAAGGCAUCUAAGCGUGAAGCCCCCCUCAAGAUGAGAUAUCCCUCCUUCGGGAGUAAGACCCCUUGAAGACUACAAGGUAGAUAGGGCAGAGGUGGAAGUGUGGCAACACAUGGAGCUGACUGUUACUAAUAGGUCGAGGGCUUGGU
Molecule: ribosomal RNA, 1674 nt
Filed under: metagenome
Description: bacterial LSU rRNA
Rfam family: Bacterial large subunit ribosomal RNA
Source: RNAcentral